GAUGAAUGCUGGCGGCGUGCCUAAUACAUGCAAGUCGAGCGGUAAGGGCCCUUCGGGGUACACGAGCGGCGGACGGCUGAGUAACGCGUGGGAACAUGCCCCAAAGUGAGGGAUAACGCACCGAAAGGUGUGCUAAUACCGCAUAUGGUCUUCGGAUUAAAGGAUUUAUCCGCUUUGGGAGUGGCCCGCGUACGAUUAGAUUGUUGGUGAGGUAACGGCUCACCAAGUCGACGAUCGUUAACUGGUCUGAGAGGAUGAUCAGUCAGACUGGAACUGAGACACGGUCCAGACUCCUACGGGAGGCAGCAGUAAGGAAUCUUCCACAAUGGGCGAAAGCCUGAUGGAGCAACGCCGCGUGCAGGAUGGAAGGCCCUCGGGUCGUAAACUGCUUUUAGAGUGAAGAAUAUGACGGUAACUCAUGAAUAAGCACCGGCUAACUACGUGCCAAGCAGCCGGGUAAGCUCGCUCUA
RNAcentral lists this ribosomal RNA (470 nucleotides) under uncultured bacterium. RNAcentral's name for it is "bacterial SSU rRNA". It matches the Rfam family "Bacterial small subunit ribosomal RNA", at positions 28 to 532 of the family's 1533-position model. The record is from RNAcentral.